AUUGAACGCUGGCGGCAGGCCUAACACAUGCAAGUCGAGCGGAUGAAGGGAGCUUGCUCCUGGAUUCAGCGGCGGACGGGUGAGUAAUGCCUAGGAAUCUGCCUGGUAGUGGGGGAUAACGUCCGGAAACGGGCGCUAAUACCGUAUACGUCCUGAGGGAGAAAGUGGGGGAUCUUCGGACCUCACGCUAUCAGAUGAGCCUAGGUCGGAUUAGCUAGUUGGUGGGGUAAAGGCCUACCAAGGCGACGAUCCGUAACUGGUCUGAGAGGAUGAUCAGUCACACUGGAACUGAGACACGGUCCUGACUCCUACGGGAGGCAGCAGUGGGGAAUAUUGGACAAUGGGCGAAAGCCUGAUCCAGCCAUGCCGCGUGUGUGAAGAAGGUCUUCGGAUUGUAAAGCACUUUAAGUUGGGAGGAAGGGCAGUAAGUUAAUACCUUGCUGUUUUGACGUUACCAACAGAAUAAGCACCGGCUAACUUCGUG
This 484-nucleotide ribosomal RNA is filed under the name uncultured bacterium. RNAcentral describes it as "partial 16S ribosomal RNA". It matches the Rfam family "Bacterial small subunit ribosomal RNA", at positions 30 to 507 of the family's 1533-position model. The record is from RNAcentral.